UCAAUAACUAGGGCACCAUCAAGGACCUUAGCUUCCAUUGGUCCAGAGAAGUGGGCUCUCUCCACGUAGAGAAAUAGGAAGCCCUUCCUAAUCACUAUGCCCACAGUGGCCCUUUUGUUCCAUCAUGAAACCACCUGUGCUAUCCAGAGCCUUCCUUUGCUCCAGCAAAGAUGACAGAAAGCCUUCACUGUACACAGACGUCCAAUGUCAGCCCCAUCAUCUGCCACAUUCCAGUAUUAUCUAUUGUAUUCUGUGCAUCUCCAGCCAGAGAGGAGGACGAGCCAAGCUUUCCACAGUGUUUUUUCAUGUGCCUAAUCAUCCCAGGCAUGCCUCUGGUUUCCUCCCUGGCCCUGCAAGCUCAUAGUUUGUUUCCUUCUGUGGUGAAUGUGGGCACGUCUCGCAGCUCAGGGUGGAGAGCCAUGAAUCAUGAGCAAGAGGCACUAAGAACACUGUGUUUCUGCUGCUUCCCCCACAAGUCCCAGACAGCCUCGUGGGAUCCAACUCUGACCCCAGUGGAGUUCUUCAUCCAUGACUGGUGCCUUCAGGAAUGUGUCCGUGGGCAGCAAGAAGAGUUUCAAAUGCAAUAGAAUGGGGCCACUGACUUUUUUCCUUUCUUUCCCGGCUGGAUGGCAAGAGGACCCUGAAGGUUGGUGAACUGCACGAGUAGGUAGACACCGAGGCCCGAGGCCUGCUGCUGAGUCAUUUCAAUCCGUUUCAGAUUCGAUUUGCUCAGUGCAUGGAGGAGAACAAGGCUCCCAGUGGAGAUAUCAUAUAGCUAGAGCCUAGAAGUAUUUUCUUAAUAGAUGAAAUUUAGAAAGAAUUUGAAUCUUCUGUGCUGGGGAGGUAGGUCGCCGAGCGAAAUGGUUGGGAAAAGGAAACAUUUGGCUCCAGCGAUUCCAAAGGACAUUUCACUGAUCUAAAUAUUUGUCCAGCUGAAUUGCUAUGUCCACUGUCACCUGCCUGGAAUCAAUAUGUUCAAAUCAAACACAGUCAUCGGCAUCUGAGCGUGGAGAAAGAACUUCUUAAACCUGAGCUGGCAACUGGGAGGGUGAGAGAGGACUCAGACAAGGAGCUAGGACAGGGGAGCGCUUUGCCACCAAGUGGGGGACCUGCAACAACGGUCAAUCCCCUAGAGUUCGCAUCUGGAUCCCGUGAUUCAAUGACAAGCUUCCGAUCGUCGAGGUGCGGUGAAUAACUUUGAUAGUCAGGACAGCGUAUGCAUUUUUUGAGAAAGACUUUAUCUGUUGGAACAAACACUUGUUCUUUUUGCUUUAGCCUUGAACCUCUCAGGAUGCAGACAGACCACUGUGCUCGGAAGGCACAGACAAAGCUGAGCAUACUGUUCUCCUCACUUUUUAAGGAGUUUUCUUAAGAUGCCUGUGUCAAGGCCUUUUGAUUCUGAGUCAUAUGAGUGUUCUCCAAGGGGGUAAAAAAAAAAAGAGGACUUUUCGAUUUAACACUGUUUCUCACCAAAUGCAUGCAAGUUGGCACAACAGGUAGCCCAGAUGUUUACAGCCCCUGCAGCGGGUUCACAGAGGCACUAGAACCUUCCUAGGCCCUGCCUUACAUGCAGUGUGGAAUUAGGUGGUGAACCCAUGACAGUGCGGGAGAAUCAGGAAGGACCAGAGUCCCGCGGCUCCCAUCAUCGACAGAGGAGUCUGCACAUUUGUGUGGACAGCACUGUGCCCAGGGGCCGGUUCCUGCCACUCCUGUCACCACAGCUAUGCAGCCAAGGACACGUCGGAUCUUGUGACCCACCCUCUGUGGACUGAAGGAGAAGCGCUUCUGGGCCCUAUACAUGCUUUUUAUGUGCUUGUCCGGAAAGGAGAACGUAGCAAGACGCAGUGACCAUUUUUUGUCAUCGUUCUUAAUGUGGUAGAGUGAUUGCAAAAAUGUCCCCAACUCUUCACCCUGCCACGAAGCCACACCUCUGCAGCGUGACGUUGCAUUUCCUCCCGCCAGUAAGUGUCUCCCUGCGCUUGUAAAUCUGGACUGGUCUUGUGACUCACUUUGACCAACAGAAUGUAGGGUCAGUGAUGGUGUGCCAGUUCUAAGCCUCAGCCUCAAGAGGCAUUGAGCACUUGUGCCCUUUCUCUUGGACCCGUGAUUCACCUAUGAUUGUGCUCUUUCUCCUGGACCACGGGAGCAAGCUGCGCUGCUGGAUGAAAGAGACACUGCCCCGGUCCCCCUGUCACUCUCGCUGAGAGCCAAACAACUGCCAGACUUCUGAGUGAGGCCUUCCUAGACCAGGCAGCCCUUGGCCCAUCUGCCCGCUGACGGCAGAUCCGAGGAAGCCAAAUCAGGAUCAACCAAACCUGGCCCAAGUUAGCAGCACUGCCCGGCUGAGCCGUAGACCUGUGAGCAAAAGCAAAUGCCUGUCGUGGUUCCCUUCACCUUUCCUGCCCAGAAUGUCCAUUCAUUCAUUCGACAAAUUCACGUUGAUGCUUAAAUUGUACAAGGCACUGCUUCAGGCCCUAAGGACAUAAAAUGGUGCAAUGAGGAGCCUGUGGAGAAUUUAAAGCAAAGGAGGAACAGGAUCUGACCUACAUGAAUCUGAACCAUCAGGAAGGAUGGGCCAACAAGAGUAGAAGGAGGGAGAUCAUUUAGGAGGCUCUUGCGGUCACACAGGUAAGAGAUGUUGGAGGCCUGGAGCACCAUGGGGGCCACAGGGAUGGUGAGAGGUACACAGGCGCUGGGGAGGUCUCAAAGCAACGGUCAUCUACAUGUCUGCAGUUGGGCUGAAUGGAGGAGAAAAGCAAGGGGCCAAGGAGGAUUCCUAGGACUAGACUAGCCACAGAGGUGCCAUUUACUGAGACAGAGGACACAGGGGCAGGAGCAUAUUUAUGGGAGAAAAUCAAGAUUUCAGUGCUGGACAUUAAAAGUUUGAGAGGCCUCUUCAACAUCUAAGGGAAUAUGACUAUAAAGCAAUACAUAACAGAGUAUAUGAGUGUGGGUUUCCAAAAUGGACCAGGGCUUAAGAGUAGGGGUAUACAUUUGAGAGACAUGACUCUAACGAUGGUAUUUAAAGCCACAGAACUGGAUGAGAUUCCCCAAAGUAAGGAUGUGGAUGGAGAAGAAGAGGAGUCAAGGUGCAGAUCCCGAGGCAAAGCAACACUUAGGGGUCCAGCCGAGGAUUCUAAGGAAGAAAAGCCAGUAGAGAAAAACCAAGAGGGUGUGAAAUUACAAAAGCCAAGAGAGUGUUAAGCAAUGAGGGUAUGACUUACAACUGCUACAGUCACUGGGCUUACUUCACAAGAACACCAUUAUCAGGAAACCAGCAUUAUACCCAAUCACCCACCUGUCAACCCCAGGAGCCAUUUCAGCAUUCACUCCUCAGAUAUAUCAGUGUUAUGGGUCGCACUGUGUCAAUAAAAUAAGUUAUGUUGGAGUCCUCACCCUGGUAUCUCAGAAUGAGACCUGAUUUAGAGAUGGGGUCUUUACAGAGGUAAUCCAGUUACAAUGCGGCCAUCAAGGUGGGUCCUAAUUCAAUAUGGCUGGCGUCUUAUAAAAAGAGAACAACAGAGAUACACCCAACGCCCAGGGAGACCGCCAACGUGAAAACGAAGGUCGAGAUCAGGUUGAUGGAGCAGAAGACAAGGAACACCAAAGAUGGUCAGCCAACCACCAGAAGCCGGGAGACAGGCAAACACCGACUCUCGCUCGCGGCCUCAUGGCCUUCGGAAGGGCGCCAUGUCUCAAUUUUAGACCUCUCGUCAGAAUUCCGAGAAAAUAAAUUUCUGUUAAGCCACCCAGUUUGCGACACUUUGGCCAGGCAGCUUCAGCAAACAAUACAGGCCUUCAGCAUGCUGUCACAGCAGGGGUCUCCUCUCCGGGUGGGCAAAACACAAGCUAGGUUUCUGGGACAGUGUUAGCCACUGUGGGAUCCCUCCGUGGGCUUUGUGCUCAGGGUUUGGAAGUGGAACAGUGUCGCCAGCCCUUGUAAGAACACUUGCAACACAAUCACACGAGGUGAGUAGUGUGAAGGCUACAAGCUUUAGGGUAAAAAUGAAGCAAUAUGCUGGAGGGAAGCAAAUCGGAGGGAGCAUGUCUAUUCAAUACGGAAGAAGCGAGGAAACCUGCCAUAAAAGAAAGCAUCAUUGUUCAUGUGGCGUUCGGCCCCCAGAAGUAACCCCAGAUGGGGGGGAAGGUCCCCCUCCACUCUGCCUGCCCAAAUGAGAGAUGGCUUGUUUGGACAAUGUACACACUUCGAAAGCCUCCUCUUUCUCUCUGACUAUUUCUGUUCCCACAAGGCCCACAGUUUCUCUUUUUAUCCUAAAUUUAUAAAAUGCCAAAGAAAAUAUGACUUUUUAGAAGAUUCAAAAUCUGGAAAGUACCCUUAAGGUAUUGCAGUUAAGCUGUUUUUGAUGAUAAGGAGCAGAUACCCGCAAAUGCGUUCAACUCGGAUUGGGGGCCAGGGGAUUGAAGUCAGGAAGCCCCAUGAGGUAGUAAGAGAGACAUUCUGUUGAAACCAAGAUCUUCUGUAAUACAAAUAGAUCACACUUACACAGCAUGCCAGGCACCGUGAUACAUGCUUUACGUGUGUUAGCUGAUUUCUUCCUCACAAUAGCCCUUUGAGGGAGAUACUGUACUUCUCCCCACUAUACAGAUGAGGAAGCCAAGGUAAAAACAAAACAAAACAAACAAAGAGUAACUGCCAGGGUUAAAAGCUAGCAAGUAAGGAGCCAGGAUUUGAACCAAAAUGGGCAGGCUUCAAGGAAUGUUCCUUUAAGUACUGGUUUAUGCUACUCCAUGGGAAUCCAAAUGGAAUGGAAGCAGAUUAAGGAUUUUCCCUUUCUCCCUCCUUCCGUCUAACUUUCUCCCCACUUCCUUCUCUCUCUCCUUCUCUCCCUCCACCCUCCUCUUUCCACUCUUCUCUUUACACCUCCCUCUGACUCUCUUAGUAUUUCUCUUCCCCCUCUUGUGUAUAUACUCUGUUCUCCUUUGCCUACUAACUAGUUUAUUCUUUCUGUAUGCUCUGUGUUGCCUUUUUGUACCCAACAGCUUCUACUUAAUCCUAACUCCUACUCCCUUGUACCUACAGCCUGGACAUGGCCCACUUUGGCUACUCCAAACUCACACUGGUCACUACCUCACUGGGAUUUCUUAAGAAUCCCAGCGCACAAAGUCCAAUUGGCUCUGUCCAUGAGCUGCCCCCCAAUCCAAAUGGCUAUGGCUACCUACUGAGUCAUAGGGAAUGAAAUAUGGCGGCCCACUCAGGGCAGCCACCAAGAAUGAUGCCUAGUAAGCAAAGCAUCACCUUCAUUUUUGACAGAAAAACUGUCUACUGAUCACGUCUGUCACAGAUAAGCCUGCCAGCCAAGUCCCCACUGCUCCCUGGCCCAUGCCCGAGCAUACGAUGCCCCUGGUAUAAUAAUGCUCACGCAUGCUGUGCGUCUCUGUGCGAUGUGGGUAGCUGACUGCAAGUGAAUAAAUGAGAAUCUUGUCUGGCUCCUUCGAGAGAAGACAAAUGGGCUGGAGUUGCGAGGCAUAUUGGAGAGAAGGGGAACCCAGGCAUCGGGAGGAGGCAUAAGACAGAGAACCGCAUCGUUCCGUGAAACUCAACAGAGAUCUGCCCCUUCGACAAAGCAAGGUCUCCAUCUGUCUUGGGAGUAAAAGCUGGACACUGGAAAAGAGAAGCUGCCUUGGUAAAAAGUCAAAGGGAACUCAGCCUAGGCCAGGGGUAAGCUCGUAUUUGAACUAGAAAGAGAAAUUCGAUUCUUCUGGGAGAAAGGGAAAAGAUGCUGAGCUACAAGGAGGCUGGGCUCACACAGCCAGAUUAAGACAUCUUGCCUAGAGCACAUGGCGUCUCUGUAUCAGACUUCUGUAGUCCCCAAACAGUGAAUCAGUCUCUGCAAGAGACACCUGCACUCUCAGGCCUGGAUACAGAAAGGUAUGCAGAAAGCAAGUCUGCUAGCAAUUUCUUUUUUUUAAAGGUGACUCUAUUCCAGAUAAAGUAUUCAAAUGAUA
Long non-coding RNA from Felis catus (domestic cat), 5967 nucleotides. RefSeq lists it as uncharacterized. The record is from RefSeq and is a predicted model, not a curated record. Lineage: Eukaryota; Metazoa; Chordata; Mammalia; Carnivora; Felidae. The transcript is spliced from 3 exons.